GGGAGGCUCAGUAACUGUAGGCGGUGUUUCAGUGUGAGGAGGGCUUAGUAGCUUGGGAUGGGUGCAUUCCUGCUUGUAGGAAACUCAAGAAGACCCUCUGAGGAACAAAAUAAUGUCUUUCUGACCUUGCAGAAAGGAGGUCAGCCUGUGCAUGGUCAGACAGGAGCCUGUUCUCAAGCUUGUCAACAGAGAAAAGAGUUGGAGAAGUUGCAGCCAAACUUACGGUCACAUUUGCUGUCACCUGAAGAAUUACUGAGAAAACAGAGUCACCAAAAUGCAGCUGAAUUGGAAGAAAGAGAGCACAGUUCCAGAGAAGAAAUAGCGCUACAGAGAAAGCUAGAAGCAGAGCUCCAAAGCAUCCAACAGCAAAUGCAGUACUACUUCAGCAGGAAGCAGGAACUCAAGUCUUGUCAGCAGCAGGCAGAGAUUCUGCAUAAGUGGCUAGAAAGGAGAGCACAACCACGAGAUCAAGAUAGUAUACAAAAAGUUCAGGAAGAACUGGACCAGUUGGAGGUGAGGAUCAGUGCUCUCACCAAAGCACAACACCGGGAGAGACACCACGUGCAGAACCUGGUUGCUCGCCUGCAUGAUAUUCAGGUUGCUCUGGAAAUGUAAAUUCACAUGAACCUAAUUGCUAGCUGAUGAGUGGGAAUGGCUGCAGUUUUCACCCCUUUCAUAUCAGUAGAGGAUGGAAAGAGAUUGUAUACAUUCUCCUAGUCCAG
RNAcentral lists this long non-coding RNA (722 nucleotides) under Pavo cristatus (Indian peafowl). RNAcentral describes it as "lncRNA (ENSPSTG00000009225.1)". Lineage: Eukaryota; Metazoa; Chordata; Aves; Galliformes; Phasianidae. The record is from RNAcentral.